This 253-nucleotide ribosomal RNA is filed under the name uncultured bacterium. RNAcentral describes it as "partial 16S ribosomal RNA". It matches the Rfam family "Bacterial small subunit ribosomal RNA", at positions 524 to 776 of the family's 1533-position model. The record is from RNAcentral.
UACGUAGGUGGCAAGCGUUGUUCGGAAUCACUGGGCUUAAAGGGCUCGUAGGCGGUCUGUUGCGUCGGGAGUGAAAACUUACAGCUUAACUGUGAGCGUGCUUUCGAUACGGGCAGACUUGAGGCAUUCAGGGGAGAACGGAAUUCCUGGUGUAGCGGUGAAAUGCGCAGAUAUCAGGAGGAACACCGGUGGCGAAGGCGGUUCUCUGGGAAUGUCCUGACGCUGAGGAGCGAAAGUGUGGGGAGCGAACAGG